UGCAGUCGACGGUAACAGGAGAAGCUUGCUGCUUUGCUGACGAGUGGCGGACGGGUGAGUAAUGUCUGGGAAACUGCCUGAUGGAGGGGGAUAACUACUGGAAACGGUAACUAAUACCGCAUAACGUCUCAAGACCAAAGAGGGGGACCUUCGGGCCUCUUGCCAUCGGAUGUGCCCAAAUGGGAUUAGCUUGUUGGUGGGGUAACGGCUCACCAAGGCGACGAUCCCUACCUGGUCUGAGAGGAUGACCAGCCACACUGGAACUGAUACACGGUCCAGACUCCUACGGGAGGCAGCAGUGGGGAAUAUUGCACAAUGGGCGCAAGCCUGAUGCAGCCAUGCCGCGUGUAUGAAGAAGGCCUUCGGGUUGUAAAGUACUUUCAGCGGGGAGGAAGGGAGUAAAGUUAAUACCUUUGCUCAUUGACGUUACCCGCAGAAGAAGCACCGGCUAACUCCGUGCCAUCAGCCGCGGUAAUACGGAGGGUGCAAGCGUUAAUCGGAAUUACUGGGCGUAUAGCGCACGCAGGCGGUUUGUUAAGUCAGAUGUGAAAUCCCCGGGCUCAACCUGGGAACUGCAUCUGAUACUGGCAAGCUUGAGUCUCGUUGAGGGGGGGUAGAAUUCCAGGUGUAGCGGUGGAAAUGCGUAGAGAUCUGGAAGAAUACCGGUGAGCGAAGGCGGCCCCCUGGACUAUCACUGACGCUCAUGUGCCGAAAGCGUGGGAGAGCAAACAGGAUUAGAUACCCUGGAAAGUCCACGCCGUACACGAUGUCGACUUGGAGGGUUGUGCCCUUG
RNAcentral lists this ribosomal RNA (793 nucleotides) under Shigella flexneri. Its description in RNAcentral is "bacterial SSU rRNA". It matches the Rfam family "Bacterial small subunit ribosomal RNA", at positions 56 to 835 of the family's 1533-position model. Lineage: Bacteria; Pseudomonadati; Pseudomonadota; Gammaproteobacteria; Enterobacterales; Enterobacteriaceae. The record is from RNAcentral.